Small nucleolar RNA from Hyla sarda, 176 nucleotides. RefSeq annotates it as small nucleolar RNA SNORA23. NCBI's taxonomy places the organism in Eukaryota, Metazoa, Chordata, Amphibia, Anura, Hylidae. The record is from RefSeq and is a predicted model, not a curated record. The transcript has a single exon.
GCAGGUCUGUGUGCACAGUGUCAGUCUGUGUCAUGUAAAGCAGUUGCUGGUGUCCUGCCUGCUGACUGCUUUACUACCUAAUCCUGCGGCCCAAGAUUAUCCUGAGAUCAUAGUACUGGUCUAGUGAUGUCUCUGGACACUCAACCACUGGCCAGCCUCCAAACUCUCAAACAUAC